CCCCUAGAGUUGUAGGCUUUGCCUGCUAUCUCUUACCCAUGUCUUAUGAGUACCUUCGUUUCCCUUUCCCUCGGCGGGUCCGCCCGCCGAUUGGACAAUUUAAACCAUUUGCAGUUGCAAUCAGCGAUCUGAAAAACUUAAUAGUUCAUCGAA
RNAcentral lists this unclassified non-coding RNA (153 nucleotides) under soil metagenome. Its description in RNAcentral is "partial internal transcribed spacer 1". The record is from RNAcentral.